RNAcentral lists this ribosomal RNA (253 nucleotides) under uncultured bacterium. RNAcentral describes it as "partial 16S ribosomal RNA". It matches the Rfam family "Bacterial small subunit ribosomal RNA", at positions 524 to 776 of the family's 1533-position model. The record is from RNAcentral.
UACGUAGGGUGCAAGCGUUAAUCGGAAUUACUGGGCGUAAAGUGUGCGCAGGCGGCAGAGCAAGUCGAGUGUGAAAGCCCCGGGCUUAACUUGGGAAUUGCGCUCGAAACUACUUGGCUGGAGUGUGGCAGAGGAAGGUGGAAUUCCAGGUGUAGCGGUGAAAUGCGUAGAGAUCUGGAGGAAGACCGGUGGCGAAGGCGGCCCGCUGGGCAGAUACUGACACUGAGGCGCGACAGCGUGGGGAGCAAACAGG